RNAcentral lists this ribosomal RNA (812 nucleotides) under uncultured Actinomycetes bacterium. RNAcentral describes it as "bacterial SSU rRNA". It matches the Rfam family "Bacterial small subunit ribosomal RNA", at positions 28 to 852 of the family's 1533-position model. Lineage: Bacteria; Bacillati; Actinomycetota; Actinomycetes. The record is from RNAcentral.
GACGAACGCUGGCGGCGUGCUUAACACAUGCAAGUCGAACGGAAAGGCCCCUUUGGGGGUGCUCGAGUGGCGAACGGGUGAGUAACACGUGAGUAACCUGCCCUGGUCUUUGGGAUAACCUUCGGAAACGGGGGCUAAUACCGGAUAUUCCCGUUUUCACGCAUGUGGGGGUGGGGAAAGUUUUUUCGGAUCAGGUUGGGCUCGCGGCCUAUCAGCUUGUUGGUGGGGUGAUGGCCUACCAAGGCUUUGACGGGUAGCCGGCCUGAGAGGGCGACCGGCCACACUGGGACUGAGACACGGCCCAGACUCCUACGGGAGGCAGCAGUGGGGAAUAUUGCACAAUGGACGCAAGUCUGAUGCAGCGACGCCGCGUGAGGGAUGACGGCCUUCGGGUUGUAAACCUCUUUCGCCAAGGACGAAGCGAAAGUGACGGUACUUGGAGAAGAAGCGCCGGCCAACUACGUGCCAGCAGCCGCGGUAAGACGUAGGGCGCAAGCGUUGUCCGGAUUUAUUGGGCGUAAAGAGCUCGUAGGCGGCUCAUUGCGUCAACCGUGAAAACCUGGGGCUCAACUUCAGGUCUACGGUUGAUACGGGUGGGCUGGAGUUCGGUAGGGGAGACUGGAAUUCCUGGUGUAGCGGUGAAAUGCGCAGAUAUCAGGAGGAACACCGGUGGCGAAGGCGGGUCUCUGGGCCGAUACUGACGCUGAGGAGCGAAAGCGUGGGGAGCGAACAGGAUUAGAUACCCUGGUAGUCCACGCUGUAAACGUUGGGCGCUAGGUGUGGGGGGCCUCUCCGGUUUCCUGCGCCGUAGC